RNAcentral lists this long non-coding RNA (3090 nucleotides) under Panax ginseng (ginseng). RNAcentral describes it as "long non-coding RNA (PGIN_LNC015044)". The stretch from base 2636 to 2757 matches the Rfam family "MIR6135 microRNA precursor family". Lineage: Eukaryota; Viridiplantae; Streptophyta; Magnoliopsida; Apiales; Araliaceae. The record is from RNAcentral.
AAAAUGAACUUCAUGCUAACCACUCCCAGCUAAUAUAUAAUAAUAUUAAUUUGAGAUGAGAAAUAUAUAUGACCAUAAAUGUGAAGUGAUAAUAAUACAGUAGGUAGUUAGGUAGGUAGGUACCUAGGUAAUCGGUGAGGACUCGGCCGUCGGAGAAGCGGCCGGCGGGUUUACCGGGAAAGGUAAGACCAUAAGGGAGUUUCCAGGAAUUGGAUAGAGACUUCCUGUUGUUCCCUGUAUCAGCAUACGAGUCCCCGAACACGAAUAGCUUCCUUGGACCAACUACUCCCACCGAGUAUAAUAGCUUUUCAUGAUGAUGAGAUAUUGAUGAAGAAUCUUGCACCACCACCCCUUCAUCUAAUUCAUAUCCAUAUCCUGUACGGAAAUAAAAGACAGAAAUUAAGAUGGGCUGGUUACAACUUACAAGUUCUACUUAAUUAGCAUUAUAACUAUAUAUAUAUAUAUAUAUAUAUAUACCUGUAUAUGAAAAGGUUAAAGAGGAGGAUGAGAAGAAAACACAAGUGGAAGAGUUUUUGAAGCUCCAUGAGCGAGUGAGAGAGAGAGAGCUAGGGAUUAAUGGUCGGUCAGCUAGAUUAAGAACCCCUAGCUACCUGGAUCGUUUGAAGUACCGCUGCCAGUGAGAGAGAAAGAGGGAUGAAAUUAUGAUGAUUCGGAAUGAGGAGUGAUAAAUUAUGUAGGGUGAAUUAAAAUUUAAAAGAUUAAAUAGAAAAUUAAAAAUUAUGUAGUGAUAAAUGAGGAAUGAUAAUUCGAAAGUCUGGACCUGAUCAGUGUUACUAUAUACUAUAUAUAUAUAUAUAUAAGGGUAACAUUUUUGGUCUCAAUAAAUAAGAAGAAAUAUAUAUCCACUUAAUUCGUUUGUACAUGCAGACAGGUACUAUUUUAGUUAAUGAGUAGUUUAAAUUGAAGGAGGACCACAAGUUUAAUUUACAUUAUCAGGUGUCAGCUAUCCUUCUUUUAAACUGCUCCACCUACAAAAAUAGCCAUGGAUGUGUGAGGGAAGUGGAAGUUCAUUUUUGGAUAAGUUAAUUAAUUGGCCAAUAGAAUACUGAUACAUAUGCGAGACUCAAUAUGUGUUAAUAUUCUACUGGUCAAUUGACCAAUUUAUUAAAUAAUAAACUUCAUGCUAACCGGAUCUAUGUGUGAGAUAUGAGUUGCUAUGUCACAGUCACUGAUCUUCUUCUCAGUAGACUAGGCUCAAUGUUUGGUCAAUAGACUCUCAAGAAUUCAAUUUACUUAAAUGAUCCAUUUAAAAAAAUAAAAUUCAAAUUCGUUAAUAAUAUGAUAGCAACGUUAUAAUCGAUUCGUUUAAUAUUCAAAUUACUUGAAUUCUCGAUUGUGAUUCGAUACAUAUUCGAUUGAUACAAAUUCGAUUAGAUACUCGAUACAUUCUCUUAUAAUAUAUACUAAAUUAAAUCAAAUUAUGAUAAUUAAUUAUUAUUAUUUUGUUUUAUUUUGAAUUUUAAUUGUGACUUUAUAUUUGUAAAAUGUAGUAGUAAAAAUAUUUUCUCAUUUUUAAGUAAAAUAACAAAUUUAAUUUAUAAUUAUAUUUAUUUUAAAACUAGUUCUUAUGUAAAGACUUGAAUUUGAAGUUCGCGAAUAAUUUGAAAAUAAUUCUAUUCGAGUCGGAUUGAAUUUGAGUAAUAAAUAGUCGAGUCGAGUCGAAUUGAAUAUGAGUAAAAAAUUUCAAAUACAAUUCAAAUUCGAAUUCGAGUAUGAAUUUAAUAUUUGAAAUUAAAUUCUAACAACUCUCUGAUCGCUUCGGUUCAACUUGCCUCAUUUACACCAAUAAAUUUAUCGUCUUUGGAAAAAGUUAUUUUAGCCAGUAAAUUCAACAAAGAUGAACCUUAUAGUACUAGUAUCAAUUAGAAUCCUUUUAUGCAAGAAAAAGAAUCUAAUUGAAUAACUUACAUAUCAUUAAUGAUAUAUAAGUCAUCCAUCUAUGAUCUAUCUAUGGUUGAAAUUAAGGUGGCAUGUAAUCUUGAUUAGUAAACCGGGGAAAACAUCAUCGGGAUCAUGGAUAUGGGGAUUUGCUUCAACAAUAAAAGGAUCCCCACACUUUUCACUUAUCGUCUGCAAUGUCUCUCCUUCUCUCACCACGUAAAUCUCGUCGCAUGGAUUCAUCAUCAUCGUCAAGUACUCCUGCUGCUGCUGCCGCCCAUCACCGGUGAGCUCGCUAUCUUCACACCUGCUUAAAGCCAACAUUAUAAUUAUUGCCAACAACAAACCACAGUAGUGCCACGAAACCUUCUCAGUCCAGGAAUGAUCAACAGUACCAGCCAUAUAUAUAUAUAUAUGAUAAAGCUCUGAAUUGAACUUAAUUUCUUGUUGAGUACGUUUCAGAAUUAAUUGAUGAAUCGAANNNNNNNNNNNNNNNNNNNNNNNNNNNNNNNNNNNNNNNNNNNNNNNNNNNNNNNNNNNNNNNNNNNNNNNNNNNNNNNNNNNNNNNNNNNNNNNNNNNNUUAUACACAUGACUUCUAUAACAGAAGAGAGAGACACAGAAAAAAGAAAGAGGAAAGUGAGUGCAAAUUUGCGUAAAUUAAUUUUAUUUAUUUAUAAAAUGAAUUAGUUGUAAAAUAAACAAGUAUUAUAUCUAGCUAAUAUAAAUCCGGUUAGCAUAAAAUUUAUUUUUUGGUAAGUUGAUCAAUUCGCCUGUAAAAUACUGACACGCAUAGAGUCUCGUCUGCGUGUCAGUAUUUUAUUGGUCAAUUGACCAACUUACCCAAAAAUGAACUUCAUGCUAACCACUCCCAGCUAAUAUAUAAUAAUAUUAAUUUGAGAUGAGAAAUAUAUAUGACCAUAAAUGUGAAGUGAUAAUAAUACAGUAGGUAGUUAGGUAGGUAGGUACCUAGGUAAUCGGUGAGGACUCGGCCGUCGGAGAAGCGGCCGGCGGGUUUACCGGGAAAGGUAAGACCAUAAGGGAGUUUCCAGGAAUUGGAUAGAGACUUCCUGUUGUUCCCUGUAUCAGCAUACGAGUCCCCGAACACGAAUAGCUUCCUUGGACCAACUACUCCCACCGAGUAUAAUAGCUUUUCAUGAUGAUGAGAUAUUGAUGAAGAAUCUUGCACCACC